Molecule: long non-coding RNA, 869 nt
Filed under: Salmo salar (Atlantic salmon)
Lineage: Eukaryota; Metazoa; Chordata; Actinopteri; Salmoniformes; Salmonidae
Description: lncRNA (ENSSSAG00000116835.1)
Source: RNAcentral
GCUGAAAGUCCGUAUUGCCCAGCGACAGCCCCGAAACCUGAAGGAUCUGGAGAAGGUCUGUAUGGAGGAGUGGGCCAAAAUCCCUGCUGCAGUGUGUGCAAACCUGGUCAAGAACUACAGGAAAUGUAUGAUCUCUGUAAUUGCAAACAAAGGUUUCUGUACCAAAUAUUAAGUUCUACUUUUCUGAUGUAUCAAAUACUUAUGUCAUGCAAUAAAAUUCUAGUGAAUUACUUAAAAAUCAUAAGAUGUGAUUUUCUGGAUUUUUGAUUCAGUAUCUCACAGUUGAAGUGUACCUAUGAUAAAAAUUACAGACCUCUACAUAAUUUGUAAGUAGGAAAACCUGCUAAAUCGGCAGUGUAUCAAAUACUUGUUCUCCCCACUGUAUAUAUAUAUGCACAUUUUGAAUAUUCCUUAUUUGUUAAGUAAAUAACGGAACCAAGAAAAGAUGGAACCAACAAAGGUGAUAUGAGAACACUCAGAGCAGGUGAGGGAACACUCAGAGCAGGUGAGGGUACACUCAGAGCAGGUGAGGGUACACUCAGAGAAGGUUAUAUGAGAACACUGAGAGCAGGUGAGGGAACAGUCGGAGCAGGUGAUAUGAGAACACUCAGAGCAGGUGAUAUGAGAACACUCAGAGCAGGUGAGGGAACACUCACAGCAGGUGAUAUGAGAACACUCAGAGAAGGUGAGGGAACACUCACAGCAGGUGAUAUGAGAACACUCAGAGAAGGUGAGGGAACACUCGGAGCAGGGGAUAUGAGAACACUCAGAGAAGGUGAUAUGAGGUCUCUCAGAGAAGGUGGGGGAACACUCCGAGAAGGUGAUAUGAGAACACUCAGAGCAUGUGAUAUGAGAACACUGAGAGCAGG